AACGAACGCUGGCGGCAUGCCUAACACAUGCAAGUCGAACGAGACCUUCGGGUCUAGUGGCGCACGGGUGCGUAACGCGUGGGAACCUGCCCUUAGGCUCGGAAUAACUCCCCGAAAGGGGUGCUAAUACCGGAUAAUGUCUUCGGACCAAAGAUUUAACGCCUUUGGAUGGGCCCGCGUUGGAUUAGCUAGUUGGUAGGGUAAAAGCCUACCACGGGGACGAUCCAUAGCUGGUCAGAGAGGAUGGGUAGCCACACUGGGGCGAGGAAACGGCCCAGAAUAUUGGGGGAUGGAGCAAUGGGGGAUAUUGGAAAAUCGGGGAAAGGCAGAUGCCGCAAGGGCGCGUGAGUGAUGAAGGCCGGAAGGUUGUAAAGCUCUUUUAACCGGGAUGAUAAUGACAGUACCCGGAGAAUAAGCUCCGGCUAACUCCAUG
This 433-nucleotide ribosomal RNA is filed under the name uncultured bacterium. RNAcentral's name for it is "partial 16S ribosomal RNA". It matches the Rfam family "Bacterial small subunit ribosomal RNA", at positions 29 to 507 of the family's 1533-position model. The record is from RNAcentral.